GACGAACGCUGGCGGCGUGCUUAACACAUGCAAGUCGAGCGGAAAAGGCCCUUCGGGGUACUCGAGCGGCGAACGGGUGAGUAACACGUGAGUAACCUGCCCUUCACUUUGGGAUAACCCUCGGGAAACGGGGGGCUAAUACCGGAUAUGGACACAUGCUCGCAUGGGGUGGUGUGUGGAAAGUNUUUUUUUGGNGGGGGAUGGGGCUCGCGGCCUAUCAGCUU
RNAcentral lists this ribosomal RNA (224 nucleotides) under uncultured bacterium. RNAcentral describes it as "partial 16S ribosomal RNA". It matches the Rfam family "Bacterial small subunit ribosomal RNA", at positions 28 to 247 of the family's 1533-position model. The record is from RNAcentral.